Molecule: ribosomal RNA, 1483 nt
Filed under: Helicobacter pylori SA36C
Lineage: Bacteria; Pseudomonadati; Campylobacterota; Epsilonproteobacteria; Campylobacterales; Helicobacteraceae
Also listed under: 1 other name
Description: bacterial SSU rRNA
Rfam family: Bacterial small subunit ribosomal RNA
Source: RNAcentral
AGAGUUUGAUCCUGGCUCAGAGUGAACGCUGGCGGCGUGCCUAAUACAUGCAAGUCGAACGAUGAAAUUUCUAGCUUGCUAGAAGUGGAUUAGUGGCGCACGGGUGAGUAACGCAUAGGUUAUGUGCCUCUUAGUUUGGGAUAGCCAUUGGAAACGAUGAUUAAUACCAGAUACUCCCUACGGGGGAAAGAUUUAUCGCUAAGAGAUCAGCCUAUGUCCUAUCAGCUUGUUGGUAAGGUAAUGGCUUACCAAGGCUAUGACGGGUAUCCGGCCUGAGAGGGUGAACGGACACACUGGAACUGAGACACGGUCCAGACUCCUACGGGAGGCAGCAGUAGGGAAUAUUGCUCAAUGGGGGAAACCCUGAAGCAGCAACGCCGCGUGGAGGAUGAAGGUUUUAGGAUUGUAAACUCCUUUUGUUAGAGAAGAUAAUGACGGUAUCUAACGAAUAAGCACCGGCUAACUCCGUGCCAGCAGCCGCGGUAAUACGGAGGGUGCAAGCGUUACUCGGAAUCACUGGGCGUAAAGAGCGCGUAGGCGGGAUAGUCAGUCAGGUGUGAAAUCCUAUGGCUUAACCAUAGAACUGCAUUUGAAACUACUAUUCUAGAGUGUGGGAGAGGUAGGUGGAAUUCUUGGUGUAGGGGUAAAAUCCGUAGAGAUCAAGAGGAAUACUCAUUGCGAAGGCGACCUGCUGGAACAUUACUGACGCUGAUUGCGCGAAAGCGUGGGGAGCAAACAGGAUUAGAUACCCUGGUAGUCCACGCCCUAAACGAUGGAUGCUAGUUGUUGGAGGGCUUAGUCUCUCCAGUAAUGCAGCUAACGCAUUAAGCAUCCCGCCUGGGGAGUACGGUCGCAAGAUUAAAACUCAAAGGAAUAGACGGGGACCCGCACAAGCGGUGGAGCAUGUGGUUUAAUUCGAAGAUACACGAAGAACCUUACCUAGGCUUGACAUUGAGAGAAUCCGCUAGAAAUAGUGGAGUGUCUAGCUUGCUAGACCUUGAAAACAGGUGCUGCACGGCUGUCGUCAGCUCGUGUCGUGAGAUGUUGGGUUAAGUCCCGCAACGAGCGCAACCCCCUUUCUUAGUUGCUAACAGGUCAUGCUGAGAACUCUAAGGAUACUGCCUCCGUAAGGAGGAGGAAGGUGGGGACGACGUCAAGUCAUCAUGGCCCUUACGCCUAGGGCUACACACGUGCUACAAUGGGGUGUACAAAGAGAAGCAAUACUGCGAAGUGGAGCCAAUCUUCAAAACACCUCUCAGUUCGGAUUGUAGGCUGCAACUCGCCUGCAUGAAGCUGGAAUCGCUAGUAAUCGCAAAUCAGCCAUGUUGCGGUGAAUACGUUCCCGGGUCUUGUACUCACCGCCCGUCACACCAUGGGAGUUGUGUUUGCCUUAAGUCAGGAUGCUAAACCAGCUACUGCCCACGGCACACACAGCGACUGGGGUGAAGUCGUAACAAGGUAACCGUAGGUGAACCUGCGGUUG